AACGAACGCUGGCGGCAGGCCUAACACAUGCAAGUCGAACGCCCUAGCAAUAGGGAGUGGCAGACGGGUGAGUAACGCGUGGGAACCUUCCCUAUGGUGCGGAAUAACUCGCCGAAAGGCGUGCUAAUACCGCAUAAGCCCGCAAGGGGAAAGAUUUAUCGCCAUAGGAUGGGCCCGCGUAGGAUUAGCUAGUUGGUGAGGUAAUGGCUCACCAAGGCGACGAUCCUUAGCUGGUGAGAGAAUGACCAGCCACACUGGGACUGAGAC
This 267-nucleotide ribosomal RNA is filed under the name uncultured bacterium. RNAcentral's name for it is "partial 16S ribosomal RNA". It matches the Rfam family "Bacterial small subunit ribosomal RNA", at positions 29 to 325 of the family's 1533-position model. The record is from RNAcentral.